GUUGUGAGGUGACUGUGUCCGAGCAGACUUUGGUUCCACACAUUCUCUGUCUCUGUCAUGCUCUCUCGCUGCACAGCUCUCUCCUUUCGUUUUCUUUGCCCCUUUUGUUUUGGUGUGGAGAGAUAGCCGAAAGAGGAACACUAGACAAAACAGCUGAAAGAAGCAAGAAAAUGAAGAGAAGAAAAUGAACAGACUAACUUUGCCUCAGAAACAGUGGAUCUGAAGGGACUAACUUCAAAAGAAAGGCAAGAGGGAGCUGGUGUGAAGUAUGAGCAGGAAGGAGAGAUGAGAAACCCGUGGUCUUCUGAUAAGGGCGUGAGCGGCAAAGAACACCGAAUCUGCCUCGGAGGACGUUGUGGAAUGACUGGUGUUCUCUCCUGUGUGGACUGUGGCUUGGUCUAACCCCCCUGAGGACUGGACAAUGACCGCAUGCGGGGGAAAAAACACUUCCCAUAUUCUGAAAAGUGCGCAAGGCUGCAUAUGAAAAUACAAAACAGUACUCAUCGCAUUACAGUUGCAGUACUCUGUCCCAAACUUUGUGAUGGAUUACUAUGAAAAAAAACGGAACAUUUAUGAAACACACACAACAAAGAGUCGGACGAAAGCUCUGGAGCGAGGGAUUGACAGAGAGAGAAAAGAAGAAGAGAAGCGUGGCGGCGAUUUGGCAGCUGCCCGGUGCCCAGCUGCAUUGGAAAAAUCCUGCCGCCUUUUCCUUUGCGGUGGUUCCCUCCCAGAGUGGUUUGUUUGGGGGACUGGUAUCCUGGGUGGGUGUCUAGCUACGCUCCCCCGCGGCAGAGCUGGCUGCUGGGGCUGUGACUGUGGCUGUACCUCCUGGGGAGCUGAGGAAUGGAGGUCUGGCCACAGUGAGUUCUCCCUCUCUCUCUCACAUUGUCCCCUAUCCCCUUAACCGGUAGCUGAACUGCCAAAACCUCCACCUUAUCAUAUACCCCUUCAUUCUGUCUCUCGCUCAUCCCCCUUGUCCAGCUCUCCACUGGGUAAAGAUAGUUUUUAAUUACCUCUUACCUGUCAGUUGUUACUAAGUGCUUUUUAAGUGCAUGUUUCCCUUAAAUUGAGUGUUAAAAUGUAGUGUUAGAGCCGUUCACCUAUAGGGGCCGUGGGUCUAAAGACUGCAUCCACACAACCACCAGUCACACACAGAUGCACGAUGUGACAGUUUGGAUCGUUUAUAUUGUUUUUGUGCGUCAGGACUUUUACCAAAAGAAUACACAACUAUGAAGGAUAGCUCAACCUUUGGAAGCAAAGCCCACUUCCUCCUAUCAUUUCCUGACUCUGUCUGUGACUUGAUUUUAUUGCUGUAGACGUUCAUAACUUGAAGGACAGAGCUAAAAUACUUAACUGAUAUAUUUACAGAGCCGAAGGUUUUGGUACUGACUCAAAUUGUUCUGAAUUGAAUGACAUGUUUCAACAAAUAAUACAUGUUUGUUUUACUGAUGAAAAAUGGUUUUUAAAAAGUGAGAGAAUUUGAUGGUGCAGUUCAUUUGGAUAGUCUGGUGGCUGUUUGUUCUUGAUAAGCUGCUGUUGUUUUUGUUUCUCAAUUUUGACUGUGCUUUAAAAAACUGUUUUUAAGUUCUACUCCCACAAUAAUGAAACUAUACUGUGGCAUUACAGCUGUCAUCUGAAGCUAGUAUAAUGUCUUUUCAAUCUCCUAUAUUUCAGCUACAGAAAUGUAAAAUAGACCAUCUAAGCAACUUUGUAACUCACCCUAUCGUCUUAGUCAGCAGAUUUAAAAUGUAUUAAAUAAUUAUCAGGA
Molecule: long non-coding RNA, 1771 nt
Organism: Oncorhynchus gorbuscha (pink salmon)
Lineage: Eukaryota; Metazoa; Chordata; Actinopteri; Salmoniformes; Salmonidae
Exons: 4
Source: RefSeq, a predicted model, not a curated record